RNAcentral lists this ribosomal RNA (253 nucleotides) under uncultured bacterium. RNAcentral's name for it is "partial 16S ribosomal RNA". It matches the Rfam family "Bacterial small subunit ribosomal RNA", at positions 524 to 776 of the family's 1533-position model. The record is from RNAcentral.
UACAGAGGGUGCAAGCGUUGUCCGGAAUCACUGGGCGUAAAGGGCGCGUAGGCGGCCCGAUAAGUAGGGGGUGAAAUCUUGCGGCUCAACCGCAAGGCUGCCUUCUAGACUGUCGGGCUAGAGUCCGGAAGAGGCGAGUGGAAUUCCCGGUGUAGCGGUGAAAUGCGCAGAUAUCGGGAGGAACACCUAUGGCGAAGGCAGCUCGCUGGGACGGCACUGACGCUGAGACGCGAAAGCGUGGGGAGCAAACAGG